This 843-nucleotide unclassified non-coding RNA is filed under the name Hevea brasiliensis (rubber tree). Lineage: Eukaryota; Viridiplantae; Streptophyta; Magnoliopsida; Malpighiales; Euphorbiaceae. The record is from RNAcentral.
CUUCUUCCUCUCACUAAAACUACUGCAAGAAAUCAAGCUUGGGAGGCAACAUUGCAUAGACUUGAUUGAUUUCUCUCUCUCAAUUAACGCAUCUCCAUUAGUAGUCCUUUCACUACUACAGACACUGUUAGUUCCAGAGAAAUAAGGUGUACCAGAGGCAGAUUUCGGAAGAACAUCAAGAAUAGUUGGCUUGACUUCCAUCUUCCCAUUGGCAGUAUUCUGCUUGCCAGACGUUUGUCGGUCAUCGGCUUCUGGUUCUUCUCUCAAACUCUCUUGGAAUAGUUCAUAUAGUCUCUUCUUUUUCCCUGUUGGGGAUGGUUCAAGGAUAGAAUCAGGAUGUCCGUCUUCCAAAGGAGUUUUGUUGAUCUUGGGAGUCCCUGUGGAAAAGCUAUGAUGAACUGGGGUACUGCCACGUGAUGGGGUAAAUUCACCAUUGACACUGAAGAAAUCAUCCUCACAAUCUGAUUCUAACCAAGGUUGGGAAUCAAAAAAGGUUUCGUCUUUGCUGCCAUAAUCCUCAAAAGUCUUGAUCGGAGUGUCACCAUUGACAUGUUUAUCCUUGAUAGGUGAUUCUGGAAUCCCAAGAUUGUCUGUUCUGGACCCAAACGACACUCCUAGUUUCAUCGCCGAUUCUGGGGUACCCUUGUGGACAGAAACACAAGAACCCAUAUUUUCUUUGUGCGUCUAAAGAACUACCACCACAACCACAGCCAGAGCCAAGUCUACCAGACUGACCACCACAGAUAUUGAUGAAUAGAAGAAAGUAAAACUAAAACAGCAUUUACUUCAUAGAUAGAGAGAGAAGAAGCGUUAUUUUUGGCGUUUUUGUCAAGGAGUAGAAAC